Non-coding RNA from Cordylochernes scorpioides, 70 nucleotides. Lineage: Eukaryota; Metazoa; Arthropoda; Arachnida; Pseudoscorpiones; Chernetidae. The record is from the annotation of a GenBank genome assembly.
UUGAGGGAGCGCGAAGUUUGGGACUGGUGAAGAAUGAUUUUCCGGUCCCCCCUUUCGCGCAUCUUCAGCU